UUAAUGGCUACCUCACAGUCCUUGUGCAGGACUUCAAUCAGCAGUCCAAAAAAAAGGCCAGACUCAUCGACACCUUUGCUAUGACAGACAUCUGGAAGCAAAAUCGUUCAAAGCUGAAGUUGGAUCCGAUGGCAUACAAGAUGCUUCUCGGAAUUAUCAAUGAAAGUCAUCAUUGGUUGCUGAUGGUCAUCUUCCCCUCUGAGAAGAGGGCUCUCUUCUUCGAUCCAUUUGGGGAAUCCCUCGCCCAAAUGAAGAAAUGCCAGGCAGCAACAAGAGCAUUCCUACGAGACAAGGGAUGCAAUAUAUCCAGAGUGGCCAUUAGCACUCUCCCCCACCCAAUCCAGAAGGAUUGUACAUCAUGUGGGGUCUUCGCCCUCAUGUUUGCUGAGAGCAUUAUUAAGGGCGAAAAUGAAAUGAAAUUCAAAACGUCAGCUGAGGACCUGGAAAGGCAUCGUUUUCAGAUCGCAAAAACACUGCUACUAAGGACUGAGAACCUGAGUCAGCGCUGUCACUUUUGUGGGGAGGAGGACUGUGAUGAUCGUGACGAGCCAUAUUGGAUUGGCUGUGAUAGCUGUCCCCGGUGGUACCACCACGCCUGUGUCAAUCGACCUUCGGAUGAUGAUCCAUUUAUUUGUGCUGCUUGUGUUUAGAGAGAGUGUGUGUGUGUGUGUCUGUGUGAUAGUUUGCAAAGAAUUAUGUUGAUUUUAUUCUCAUAAAAGGAGGUGUCCAUAUGUAUGUGUAUUUUGUAAAUAGUUAGCAAAGAAUUAUUGCUUAAUAUUGUUCUCAUAAAAGUAAACAUUAACCAAUA
Acanthochromis polyacanthus (spiny chromis) is the source of this 808-nucleotide long non-coding RNA. RefSeq lists it as uncharacterized. The transcript has 7 exons. NCBI's taxonomy places the organism in Eukaryota, Metazoa, Chordata, Actinopteri, Pomacentridae. The record is from RefSeq and is a predicted model, not a curated record.